GCGAGUUGAGAGGGGUAAGCCCUCGGCAUAUUGCUCAGUAACACGCGGAUAACCUGCCCUUGGGUUUGGAUAACCCCGGGAAACUGGGACUAAUACCGGAUAGAUCAAAGAUACUGGAAUGUUCUUUGUUCGAAAGCUCCGGCGCCCAAGGAUGGGUCUGCGGCCUAUCAGGUAGUAGUGGGUGUAACGUACCUACUAGCCUGCGACGGGUAAGGGUUGUGAGAGCAAGAGCCCUGAGAUGGAUUCUGAGACAUGAAUCCAGGCCCUACGGGGUGCAGCAGGCGCGAAAACUUUACAUGCGGGAAACCGCGAUAAGGGGACCCCGAGUGCCAGCACCUAGUGCUGGCUGUCCAGCUGUUCAAAAAACAGUUGUUAGCAAGGGCCGGGCAAGACCGGUGCCAGCCGCCGUGGUAACACCGGCGGCCCGAGUGGUAGCCGUUAUUAUUGGGUUUUAAGGGUCCGUAGCCGGCCUAUUAAGUCUCUUGGGAAAUCUGGCGACUCAAUCGUCAGGCGUUCAAGAGAUACUGGUAGGCUUGGGACCGGGAGAGGU
Molecule: ribosomal RNA, 550 nt
Filed under: uncultured ANME-2 cluster archaeon
Lineage: Archaea; Methanobacteriati; Methanobacteriota; Methanomicrobia; Methanosarcinales
Description: bacterial SSU rRNA
Rfam family: Archaeal small subunit ribosomal RNA
Source: RNAcentral